AUGGAUUGGCUAUUUUUGGGGCUUUUAUUUCUGAUUCUUACAUUGGAAGAUUUAGGGCUAUUGCUAUUGGAACUAUCUCCAGUCUAAUUGGAAUGAUACUUCUUUGGCUCACUACAAUAUUUCCACAACUCAGGCCGUUACCCUGUGGUCAGUAUCAACUUGAUUGUAACGCAGCAACAUCAACGCAACUUGCUGUAAUUUUGUGUUCUUUUGGGCUUAUUGCCAUUGGUGCUGGUUUUGUUAGACCUUGU
RNAcentral lists this unclassified non-coding RNA (251 nucleotides) under Hevea brasiliensis (rubber tree). Lineage: Eukaryota; Viridiplantae; Streptophyta; Magnoliopsida; Malpighiales; Euphorbiaceae. The record is from RNAcentral.